Long non-coding RNA from Zea mays, 244 nucleotides. RefSeq lists it as uncharacterized. The record is from RefSeq and is a predicted model, not a curated record. Lineage: Eukaryota; Viridiplantae; Streptophyta; Magnoliopsida; Poales; Poaceae. The transcript has 2 exons.
CUACGAGGCAUUCCUGUUGAGAGGUUGAUGAUAGAAACAUAUUCUCCAUAUUGUGACAUAAUAAAUACUCAUGCUGGAAGCCAGUAUGUAAAAUCUGUCUGGCCAUCCAAGAAGAAAGAAAAGUAUGAGCCAGAUUCAACAGUAAAAGGUCGCAAUGAGCCUUGUUUAGUCAGGCAAGUUCUUGAGGUAGUGGCUGGAAGCAAAGGAAUUUCUGACAUAGAAGGCCUGAGUAGAACUCUGUACC